This 453-nucleotide ribosomal RNA is filed under the name uncultured bacterium. Its description in RNAcentral is "bacterial SSU rRNA". It matches the Rfam family "Bacterial small subunit ribosomal RNA", at positions 28 to 507 of the family's 1533-position model. The record is from RNAcentral.
GAUUAACGCUGGCGGUGCGCCUAAUACAUGCAAGUCGAGCGUGAUCACAUGGUAAGCAAUUAUUGUGUGUGAAAGCGGCGAACGGGUGAGUAACACGUUGGAAUCUACCUUGAACUCAGGGAUAACUAACCGAAAGGUUGGCUAAUACCUGAUAGUCUCGCAAGAGUAAAGCCUUGGCGGUUCAAGAGGAGCCUGCGUUCUAUCAGCUAGUUGGUAAGGUAAUGGCUUACCAAGGCUAUGACGGAUAGCUGGUCUGAGAGGAUGAUCAGCCACAAUGGGACUGAGAUACGGCCCAUACUCCUACGGGAGGCAGCAGUAAGGAAUUUUCCGCAAUGGGCGAAAGCCUGACGGAGCGACACCGCGUGAAGGAUGAAGCUUUUCGGAGUGUAAACUUCUUUUCUGGUGGAACAAAUAUUGAGGGUACACCAGGAAUAAGCGUCGGCUAACUACGUG